AUUGUCAAGGGCACUAGGACCUGUGGCAGGCAGGUACCACCCUCUGGACUGAGCCUGGCACAGGGGAGGUAGGGGGGAGGCUUCAAUGUGCCCCUCCCCCAUCUUUCUGACUUCCUUCUUCACUGACUCCUACAAGGUUCCUCUGUGUCACAGUGCAGGCUCUGGAAGCCUCUUAGCCCUGGUCACUUGCUUAGGAGACGGGAUGUAACUGGAAUCCCCUUACAGGGCUGCUGGGAGGAGGCAAAGCCAUGGCAGGCAUAGGAAGUGGUGUCUGGGAGGCAGAAUGGCGAUAUUUUACCCACUCCACUCCCCGUCCCCUUCAAGAGUCUCUUCCUGUUUGUUCUCCCAACUUGGGUGCCAAUGUCCUUGGAGGGAAAGGGGAGGGUGGUGCUUACACUUGGUAGGCUCGGCCCCCGCCCCAAUCAUGCUCAUAAGAGAACCAGAUAAGCUGCUGCCUGGAGGACGCAGUCCUGAGAGCAUCCACAGUCUGGCUGCGACCCUGGCCUGUGAGCACCUGAACUUCUUCCUGUCUAGGGAAGGGACAGCUAACAGCGGAAGCCAACGACCUUGGUCUCUAUCCAGGAACAUGGGUCCUGAUGGAGGCUCUGAGCCUGAGUUUCCUACCAGUUGGUCUGAGAAUGAUGUGCCUGCUUGCCCUGGGCAACCUCCCCAUUCGUCUGCUCUACUGAGACAGUGCAGGGCAGAUCCACGUGAGCCAAGGGACAGAGUCUCACCCCAGGCUCUGCUCUACCAUUUCCAGAUGUGGGGCGAGCUCUGUGGGUGGCAGGUCUCGUAUGCCAAUCUCAUCAUGUCGGUGUGUUUCUGACAAGCAAGCACACCUUUUAUAAUAUUAAGAAAGAUGAAUAAAGAUUGAUUUAAAAUUGC
This is a long non-coding RNA of Rattus norvegicus (Norway rat), 885 nucleotides long. RefSeq lists it as uncharacterized. The record is from RefSeq and is a predicted model, not a curated record. NCBI's taxonomy places the organism in Eukaryota, Metazoa, Chordata, Mammalia, Rodentia, Muridae.